AAUGGAGCUUUGAGAACAUAAAAUCCGCUGUCAGUGCCCUCCUUCCCUUGUGGACCCUAAGCCACCCUCAAACGCUUCCAAGAGUUGUCACUCCACCGCUUAGCUGGGCAGGGUAGAAGAGGCUGGAUCCCACCUCAAUACAGCCUUCUUUCAGAUCUACUGCUGUACUCAGCCUGGAGGACAAGGAAGGAAAAUGAAAAUAAGGUAUUUCCUCCUGCCAGAUUGCUUCUCUGAGGAGAAAAAAACAAAGGUGCACAUAAUGAUCUUGCUCCUGACACAGAUCUUUUGCCACACAGGAAGCCUGUGAGGAAGAUUCCAGGUGCUUCAAGGAUUCUUCAUAGGCACCCUUAAGCUCUACAUUUUCAAUUGUGUACAGUCCUUCUGUGAAUUUACUUCAACCUGCAGCUCUUUGCCCGUUUUUUGCCAUUCCUUUAGCAUCUUACCAAAGGCUCUGUGCCUCUUGUCCAGAGCAGCACAAGCAGCAUUGGCUUGGAAAAAUAAAGCCAAGCAUUUACUGGACACAAGUUUUCUUCACACUUCACUUCUCUGCAUGUCCUGCCAGCCAGUCACAGUUAAAUUGGCAGCCAUUCUAAAGGCUGGCAGCGUUUCUCUUGGUCACUCUGAAUGGAUGAUUAAAAUGUUUAUGAGGCUGUCUUUCCUCACCAUUAGGAAUUUAACAAGAUCACCCCGUUCCCAUCAGUGUGAUAGUUGUCUUUGCUCCUGUGGUUAUAAUGAUGCUGCUGUGGAGCAAAUGUUUUCCACUUCAGAUGUUCCUUGUGCAGAUGUGCUGCUGGUAAUUGCCUGGGUUGAUCAGUGUGACUUUUGCUAUCUUAAAGCAGAUUCAGUUACAAACAAGAUGUUAUUCAAGACUAUUUUAGACUUGUCAUGAAAGGAAAGAAUAAAGGUACAUUUUUCUUUCCUAGGAGCUUUUAAUCACAAAUAUUCUACAUAUCCUUAUGAUCCACACAUGUGUUCAGAUACCAUGGUGACAAGCACACCACAGGAACCAUAGAAUAAAGAGCUGCUUCAUUAAAGAAAGGGAUGGGGAAACAGAUUUUUUCAGCCCAGUAAUGCAAUGCUGUAUGUGGGAUUUUCGGCUCUUGGGAUCUGUUCUAAAGCAAACUGCAGGCAUUGGCAGGUACCCAAGGACUUCAGUGGAUUUGGAGCAGCCUUUGUGACUAUUUUAAGUAACAUUUUUAUUCAAAUAUCCUACAGUUGCACUACUAUUCAUGCUCUUACACUAACACGAGCAAGAGUAGAAAUAUUAAUUUAAUUAAGGUGCUGGUGUUUAAACUCUGUUGUUUAGGUCUGCUUUGAGUUUGGUAGUUAAUAACCAGUGGCCAACCCACCAGUAUUGCAACACUGAAAAGUUCAAAGCAGGAUAUCAUUAUCCUUUAAAGGAAGAUGAAUACUUUGCCUUGCAGUAAAGGAAGGCUUUUGCUUUAGCUGUACUCUUCUUUCUGGAAGUCAGCUAAUGAGCUUAUGAGAAGCAUGCUGUGUGCUCCCAGGAAUUAGCUGUGUCUCUCAUCUGGGUUUCCUCUUGAUGUGAGAAGUCUUAGCCUUGUUUCUCAUGGUCAUACAGAUUGCUUGACGUUUAAUAGAGAGACCUUAAGAAAUAAGGGACUGGAUCAAAGCUGACUUGAGUUAACAGAAAGACUCCCAGAGCCUCUGGUACCAGGUGUUGGAUCUUGGUGAUCAGGCUGAGUACAUUCCUGGCUAGCUGGAUUUCUGGCCUUGUCAAGUCAACAGUGAGGUCCUCCACUUCAUUCUGAAGCCUCUGCUUAGUUUUCUCCAUGUUGGCAGCCCAGGCUUGGACUGAUCCCACUGUCUCCUCUGCUUUCAAAGCCUCAUGGCCAACUUUUUCCUGAAGGAAAGAUGGCAGAAAUAUCCUGGUGAGUAGUUCAUGGAUUUGAAGAGUGAUGGAAUCAGCAACCCUCUACUGAACACCAUCACUGUUUUCACUAGAGAAAAGAUGGUAACUUGGCAGCAGUCUCAGGAAACAGAUUGUAAAAACUUUGGUGUUUGCUUUAUCCUUAGGAAAUUAUAGUGGCUUUUGUAGGGCUAAUGGAGGAGUAAAGUCCUGUUGAAAUUAAAAAAGGCUACCCAAAUUCAAGCUUUAAUCAUAAAGGUUUGUUUUCUGUUGUCAGUGUACCAAUGUUAGGUCUCAGUAGUCUCUGUUAUUGCAAGUAUUAUUUUUCUUCUCUUGGCUGGAGCCCUUUGCUUUCUCUCUCUUACCAAAUUACAUCCCAACAGCUCACAUCCAUAAGCUGUGACUCAGCAGCCAAGCUAAAUAAUGAGGCUGCCCUAAGCCCCAGCCUCCCUGAAAGCUGAGAGCUCACUUAGUUUCCUACAGCUUUUGCUUCUAUCAAAGGCAUCAAUCCUCUAUUUGGUCCUCCAGAUUUCAGUGUUGAGUUUAGAGAGCUGAACUGCAGCUUUGUUUUUCUCCUCUCCCUCCAGCUGCUCUUUCAUCAGGUCCAAAUCCUGCUUGGUGUUGUUUGGGCUCCCACCGCAGGCAUGCAGGACUCAAGGUAGCAGAAGUUCCACUUGAACUGCUCAGUCCUGGACCAUUUAGAAACACCUCAGCCUUCAAAAUAUCUUCCUGUUCAGGAGCUAAGGUUUUAUUUUUCUCCUUACCUGUUUUUUGCUGUAUUGCAGUGAAUUGAAUUGAGCUCAUACAACUGAAAACAGAACCUGGCAUGUCACCAUCACUUUUCUCUCAGUGUUUCAAAGAAUUAUGACAGUAAACCCAUUUGGUGAUUGUUCUGAACACAGAAUCCUUGCCAGACUGGUGAUAUACAGGUGCGGCGCUAGAAUUACUCUUUGGAGAUAAGCAGACAUUUCCAACACACAGGUGUCAGACAGGAAGAUUAAAUGUUGAUAUAUUUUCAGCCAGACUUUUGUGAUCUCUGCAAAUAAACUGCUGCACAAUCCACCGAAUGGACAGUGGACUGAUAAUCAGGAGGCUCUCUGUGUUCUGCUCUGCUGCCAGCUUAUGAGAGACUCCACAUCUUAUUUCCGUAUCCAUACAAGGUUUAUGUCCCCCACAUCCCCUCCCAGACCAGCUGGUGACAAGCCCAGACAUUAACUUGAAUAAGAAAGUUCUUUGUGAGGGCUAACACAACAGAUUUGUUACUCUGAAGUGGACAACGUUCAGAGGAGCAGGCAGUGCAUGGCCCAUGACAGCAGCAGCCCCUGCAGGUAGCUGGUGUUCCCCAGCACCUUGGACUCCUCAUCCAGCUGUCUCCUCAAGUCAUCUGCAUACAAGAUCUUUAGUAGACAGUCUGGGUUCUGUAGCUCCCAGCUCAGCUGGCUGGUUUUGUCUGUGCAACAACUGUAUAAAGAAGCAGGAGAGGAACUAAUCCAAUGUGACUGGAGUGAGAGAGAAGGAUUGGGCAGAUCUGUGAGAGGAGACAGGGAAGGGCUGCCAGAGCUGGAUGGAAUAGAGGGGAAGAGAAGGAUCUGAGGGAGGUAACAUUGCACAAAGCUGUCAAAAAUUUACCUUGGAGCCUGAUGGCUUUAUUUUCAGCUUGGCUCUCCCCCACCGCAGCCAGCUGGGCAUUGGCCUCAGCCAGGUUAUCUUCCAGCCAGUGCACAUGAGCAUGGGAGUUCAGCUGGAAGAGAGAGGUCAGUCAUAUGAUGCUGAGUAAGGCUUCAAGGGCCAAGAUAUCCUCCCUCCCUGGCAAACUCAGUUUAUUCCAGUUGGUGAUUGCACUGGGAUGACUGCAGUAGCCUGGGGGAGUGCAGAGUGUCCUGACCUUUGUGAGGGGGAUGCCUGCUCCAUCAGCCAGGAUGGGCAGUGUUCAACAUCAGCUGCCAACAGCUGCUUCUGGCAUCAGCAGCUCCCACUGGAGAGCAGGAUUCUGCUUUGCACUCAUGGCUGCAUUGGUUUGGUGAGGAAUUCCCUGCUGGUCUCUCCCUCAGGAUUUCUGCAGAGAUUCCAUGCUUACACUGAGCUUACCCAUCUCUGCCUUCAUGAGCUGUUUGUCCAUCUCCAGCUUUGCUUUCACUCUGGGGCAUCUCCAUGAGCUCUGCUGUCGCAGCCACGGCAACUGUGUUCUUCCUGUGGCCCUGCCCUGCCUGAACUGACCUUGCUGCUUUCUGUGCACUGGACAAGCUCCUCUAUCUGUUUUCCCUCUUGCAAGGUGUCUUGACAACAUGGACCUAUCUCCUGAUAUGGAUGAGAAUUAAUCAGCUCACAUUUCUAAAGUGAAUUGAAAUUGAAAUGUUCCUUAUUAUUGAUGCUAUCGAUUUUUAUUAGUCAUUAGAACAUGUUCAGAGCAUUCUAUUCAAAUAUAGCCUCAGCUUCCAGGUCUUCUUCCAGCUCUUCACUGUCUGGAGUGACUGGAGUACACAUACGAGCACAGCAGUGUCUGUGAGCAGGAGAUGUGAGAGAAAUUUGUGGGAAUAUGAACAAGAAUCUUAAUUUCUUCACUCCCUUCUCUUUAUGUUAGCUCAACUGGAUUUUAUUUCUUGGGAGAGAUCUAUGGCUGGGAAUACUGAGCCAAGAAAGCAGGAAUGUCUGGCCAGGUGUCUCAGCAGACAGCUGAUGUUAUCUGCAGCAUGACUGGCUUCCUGUAUGAUGUUGGAAUUUGGCCUUCAGGAAUAUAAUCAAGCUGUUUUGGUUGCUUGAGGGAAAUAGAGUCUUGUUCGUAGAAAUAGCUGCAAUUUAGGUCUGUGUGUCAUGUUUUUGUUGAAAUGCUGAGUGUUUAGUUAAAUAUUUGAACAUUGAAAUACUUGGAUGAAAUAAAUAUUUGAAUUCAGAAUGGUAACACCGC
Molecule: long non-coding RNA, 4775 nt
Organism: Taeniopygia guttata (zebra finch)
Lineage: Eukaryota; Metazoa; Chordata; Aves; Passeriformes; Estrildidae
Source: Ensembl